Small nuclear RNA from Suncus etruscus (white-toothed pygmy shrew), 102 nucleotides. The record is from RefSeq and is a predicted model, not a curated record. NCBI's taxonomy places the organism in Eukaryota, Metazoa, Chordata, Mammalia, Eulipotyphla, Soricidae.
GUGUUCGCUUCGGCAUCAUAUAUACUAAAAUUGAAAUAGAGAAGAUUAGCAUGGCUCCUGCGCAAGGAUGACAUGCAAAUUCGUGAAGCGUUCCAUAUUAAA